UACCAGCUCUCCGAGUGGUAGGGAUGAUUAUUGGGCUUAAAGCGUCCGUAGCCGGCUUAGCGAGUCUCCUGUUAAAUUCAGCGACCUAAUCGUUGAGCCGCGGGAGAUACUACUAGGCUAGGAGGCGGGAGAGGUCGACGGUACUUCUGGGGUAGGGGUGAAAUCCUAUAAUCCCGGGAGGACCACCAGUGGCGAAGGCUGUCGACUAGAACGCGCUCGACGGUGAGGGACGAAAGCUGGGGGAGCGAACCGGAUUAGAUACCCGGGUAGUCCCAGCUGUAAACGAUGCGGGCUAGGUGUUGGGGUGGCUACGUGCCACUUCAGUGCCGCAGGGAAGCCAUUAAGCCCGCCGCCUGGGGAGUACGGCCGCAAGGCUGAAACUUAAAGGAUUGGCGGGGAGCACACAAGGCUGAAGCUUGCGGUUC
This 425-nucleotide ribosomal RNA is filed under the name uncultured archaeon. Its description in RNAcentral is "bacterial SSU rRNA". It matches the Rfam family "Archaeal small subunit ribosomal RNA", at positions 474 to 903 of the family's 1478-position model. The record is from RNAcentral.